Molecule: small RNA, 73 nt
Filed under: Xanthomonas phaseoli pv. phaseoli
Lineage: Bacteria; Pseudomonadati; Pseudomonadota; Gammaproteobacteria; Lysobacterales; Lysobacteraceae
Also listed under: 1 other name
Description: Xanthomonas axonopodis pv. phaseoli sX9
Source: RNAcentral
AUGUACCGCUCACUGCCGUUCUGAGUGCCCCCUCCACGCCCGACUGACCACUGCGCGCUACCUGUUGUCAGCC